GAUGGAUCGAGCUGUGCGAUCAGAGGCAUCGGGACGGUCAGCUGGAGGAUACAUGAUGGUGCAGUAAGGAGAUUGGGGGAGGUCCGAUACAUAUCCGAUUUUAGAUAGAGUCUUACUCACUUAACAGACUGGAUUCGAGAGGCUACAGGAUGGUAGCUGGUGGAAGAAUCCUGAUGGUGCUACGCGGCGAUAGGAUUGUGCUGGAGGGG
RNAcentral lists this long non-coding RNA (209 nucleotides) under Elaeis guineensis (African oil palm). RNAcentral's name for it is "long non-coding RNA (EGUI_LNC023812)". Lineage: Eukaryota; Viridiplantae; Streptophyta; Magnoliopsida; Arecales; Arecaceae. The record is from RNAcentral.